AGAGUUUGAUCAUGGCUCAGAUUGAACGCUGGCGGCAGGCCUAACACAUGCAAGUCGAGCGGAUGACAGGAGCUUGCUCCUGAAUUCAGCGGCGGACGGGUGAGUAAUGCCUAGGAAUCUGCCUGGUAGUGGGGGACAACGUUUCGAAAGGAACGCUAAUACCGCAUACGUCCUACGGGAGAAAGCAGGGGACCUUCGGGCCUUGCGCUAUCAGAUGAGCCUAGGUCGGAUUAGCUAGUUGGUGAGGUAAUGGCUCACCAAGGCGACGAUCCGUAACUGGUCUGAGAGGAUGAUCAGUCACACUGGAACUGAGACACGGUCCAGACUCCUACGGGAGGCAGCAGUGGGGAAUAUUGGACAAUGGGCGAAAGCCUGAUCCAGCCAUGCCGCGUGUGUGAAGAAGGUCUUCGGAUUGUAAAGCACUUUAAGUUGGGAGGAAGGGCAUUAACCUAAUACGUUAGUGUUUUGACGUUACCGACAGAAUAAGCACCCGGCUAACUCUGUGCCAGCAGCCGCGGUA
This 520-nucleotide ribosomal RNA is filed under the name uncultured Pseudomonadota bacterium. RNAcentral's name for it is "bacterial SSU rRNA". It matches the Rfam family "Bacterial small subunit ribosomal RNA", at positions 8 to 522 of the family's 1533-position model. Lineage: Bacteria; Pseudomonadati; Pseudomonadota. The record is from RNAcentral.